This 305-nucleotide ribosomal RNA is filed under the name uncultured bacterium. RNAcentral's name for it is "bacterial SSU rRNA". It matches the Rfam family "Bacterial small subunit ribosomal RNA", at positions 335 to 639 of the family's 1533-position model. The record is from RNAcentral.
GGCCUACGGGGCGCAGCAGUGAGGAAUAUUGGUCAAUGGUCGGGAGACUGAACCAGCCAAGCCGCGUGAGGGAGGAAGGUACAGAGUAUCGUAAACCUCUUUUGUCAGGGAACAAAGGCGGGGACGUGUCCCCGGAUGAGUGUACCUGAAGAAAAAGCAUCAGCUAACUCCGUGCCAGCAGCCGCAGUAAUACGGAGGAUUCGAGCGUUAUCCGGAUUUAUUGGGUUUAAAGGGUGCGCAGGCGGUCUGUGAAGUCAGCGGUCAAAGCCCGGGGCUCAACCCCGGCCCGCAGUUGUAAAUGGCAG